AACGAACGCUGGCGGCAGGCCUAACACAUGCAAGUCGAGCGAGGACUUCGGUUCUAGCGGCGGACGGGUGAGUAACGCGUGGGAAUGUGCCCUUCUCUACGGAAUAGCCCUGGGAAACUGGGAGUAAUACCGUAUACGCCCUAUUGGGGAAAGAUUUAUCGGAGAAGGAUCAGCCCGCGUUGGAUUAGGUAGUUGGUGGGGUAAUGGCCUACCAAGCCGACGAUCCAUAGCUGGUUUGAGAGGAUGAUCAGCCACACUGGGACUGAGACACGGCCCAGACUCCUACGAGAGGCAGCAGUGGGGAAUCUUAGACAAUGGGGGCAACCCUGAUCUAGCCAUGCCGCGUGAGUGAUGAAGGCCUUAGGGUUGUAAAGCUCUUUCAGCUGGGAAGAUAAUGACGGUACCAGCAGAAGAAGCCCCGGCUAACUCCGUG
RNAcentral lists this ribosomal RNA (433 nucleotides) under uncultured bacterium. RNAcentral describes it as "partial 16S ribosomal RNA". It matches the Rfam family "Bacterial small subunit ribosomal RNA", at positions 29 to 507 of the family's 1533-position model. The record is from RNAcentral.